CGGAACUAGAGACCGGCGCACGGGUGCGUAACGCGUAUGCAAUCUACCUUUUACAGAGGGAUAGCCCAGAGAAAUUUGGAUUAAUACCUCAUAGUAUAUAGACCUGGCAUCAGGAUUAUAUUAAAGUCACAACGGUAAAAGAUGAGCAUGCGUCCCAUUAGCUAGUUGGUAAGGUAACGGCUUACCAAGGCUACGAUGGGUAGGGGUCCUGAGAGGGAGAUCCCCCACACUGGUACUGAGACACGGACCAGACUCCUACGGGAGGCAGCAGUGAGGAAUAUUGGACAAUGGGCGCAAGCCUGAUCCAGCCAUGCCGCGUGCAGGAUGACGGUCCUAUGGAUUGUAAACUGCUUUUAUACGAGAAGAAACACUACUUCGUGAAGUAGCUUGACGGUAUCGUAAGAAUAAGGAUCGGCUAACUCCGUGCCAGCAGCCGCGGUAAUACGGAGGAUCCAAGCGUUAUCCGGAAUCAUUGGGUUUAAAGGGUCCGUAGGCGGUUUAAUAAGUCAGUGGUGAAAGCCCAUCGCUCAACGGUGGAACGGCCAUUGAUACUGUUAGACUUGAAUUAUUAGGAAGUAACUAGAAUAUGUAGUGUAGCGGUGAAAUGCUUAGAGAUUACAUGGAAUACCAAUUGCGAAGGCAGGUUACUAC
This 651-nucleotide ribosomal RNA is filed under the name Flavobacterium piscis. RNAcentral describes it as "bacterial SSU rRNA". It matches the Rfam family "Bacterial small subunit ribosomal RNA", at positions 83 to 732 of the family's 1533-position model. Lineage: Bacteria; Pseudomonadati; Bacteroidota; Flavobacteriia; Flavobacteriales; Flavobacteriaceae. The record is from RNAcentral.